GACGAACGCUGGCGGCGUGCUUAACACAUGCAAGUCGAACGGAAAGGCCCUGCUUUUGUUGGUUGCUCGAGUGGCGAACGGGUGAGUAGCACGUGAGUAACCUGCCCUUGACUUUGGGAUAACUUCAGGAAACUGGGGCUAAUACCGGAUAGGAGCUCCUGAAGCAUGGUGGGGGUUGGAAAGUUUCGGCGGUUGGGGAUGGACUCGCGGCUUAUGAGCUUGUUGGUGGGGUAGUGGCUUACCAAGGCUUUGAAGGGUAGCCGGCCUGAGAGGUGGACCGGGCUCCAGGCGCCUGAGAUACGGACCAGUCUGCAACGGUACGCAGUAGGGGGGAAUAUUGCACAAUGGGGGGAAGCCUGAUGCAGAAACGCCCGGUGCGGGAUGACGUCCUUCGGGUUGUAAACCGCUUUCGCAGUUGACGAAGCGGGAGUGACGGUAAUGGGUAAAGAAGCACCGGCUAACUACGUG
Molecule: ribosomal RNA, 468 nt
Filed under: uncultured bacterium
Lineage: Bacteria
Description: partial 16S ribosomal RNA
Rfam family: Bacterial small subunit ribosomal RNA
Source: RNAcentral